This 274-nucleotide ribosomal RNA is filed under the name uncultured bacterium. RNAcentral's name for it is "partial 16S ribosomal RNA". It matches the Rfam family "Bacterial small subunit ribosomal RNA", at positions 523 to 796 of the family's 1533-position model. The record is from RNAcentral.
AUACGGAGGGUGCAAGCGUUGUCCGGAUUUAUUGGGUUUAAAGGGUGCGUAGGCGGCCCGCUAAGUCAGUGGUGAAAGGUAUCAGCUUAACUGAUGAAGUGCCAUUGAAACUGAAGGGCUUGAGUACAGACGAGGUAGGCGGAAUUUAUGGUGUAGCGGUGAAAUGCAUAGAUACCAUAAAGAACACCGAUAGCGAAGGCAGCUUACUAGAGUGAGACUGACGCUGAGGCACGAAAGCGUGGGGAGCGAACAGGAUUAGAAACCCCAGUAGUCC